This 258-nucleotide ribosomal RNA is filed under the name uncultured bacterium. RNAcentral's name for it is "partial 16S ribosomal RNA". The record is from RNAcentral.
CUGCUGCCUCCCGUAGGAGUUUGGGCCGUGUCUCAGUCCCAAUGUGGCCGGUCACCCUCUCAGGUCGGCUACUGAUCGUCGCCUUGGUGGGCCGUUACCCCGCCAACAAGCUAAUCAGACGCGGGCCCAUCUUACACCACCGGAGUUUUUCACACUGUUCCAUGCGAAACUGUGCGCUUAUGCGGUAUUAGCAGCCGUUUCCGGCUGUUGUCCCCCUGUGUAAGGCAGGUCGCCCACGCGUUACUCACCCGUCCGCCA